Molecule: transfer RNA, 83 nt
Filed under: Lachnospiraceae bacterium
Lineage: Bacteria; Bacillati; Bacillota; Clostridia; Lachnospirales; Lachnospiraceae
Description: tRNA-Leu
Rfam family: tRNA
About the family: Transfer RNA (tRNA) molecules are approximately 80 nucleotides in length. Their secondary structure includes four short double-helical elements and three loops (D, anti-codon, and T loops).
Source: RNAcentral
GCGGGAGUGCUGGAAUUGGCAGACAGGCAUGACUAAGGAUCAUGUAUCCGUAGGAUGUGAGGGUUCAAGUCCCUUCUCCCGCA